This 449-nucleotide ribosomal RNA is filed under the name uncultured bacterium. Its description in RNAcentral is "partial 16S ribosomal RNA". It matches the Rfam family "Bacterial small subunit ribosomal RNA", at positions 29 to 523 of the family's 1533-position model. The record is from RNAcentral.
AACGAACGCUGGCGGCAUGCCUAAUACAUGCAAGUCGAACGAGAUCUUCGGAUCUAGUGGCGCACGGGUGCGUAACGCGUGGGAAUCUACCCUUGGGUUCGGAAUAACAGUUAGAAACGACUGCUAAUACCGGAUGAUGACGUAAGUCCAAAGAUUUAUCGCCCAAGGAUGAGCCCGCGUAGGAUUAGCUAGUUGGUGGGGUAAAGGCCUACCAAGGCUACGAUCCUUAGCUGGUCUGAGAGGAUGAUCAGCCACACUGGGACUGAGACACGGCCCAGACUCCUACGGGAGGCAGCAGUAGGGAAUAUUGGACAAUGGGGGAAACCCUGAUCCAGCAAUGCCGCGUGAGCGAUGAAGGCCUUAGGGUUGUAAAGCUCUUUUACCCGGGAUGAUAAUGACAGUACCGGGAGAAUAAGCUCCGGCUAACUCCGUGCCAGCAGCCGCCGUAA